This 460-nucleotide ribosomal RNA is filed under the name uncultured bacterium. RNAcentral describes it as "partial 16S ribosomal RNA". It matches the Rfam family "Bacterial small subunit ribosomal RNA", at positions 338 to 795 of the family's 1533-position model. The record is from RNAcentral.
CCUACGGGUGGCAGCAGUGGGGAAUAUUGGGCAAUGGGCGCAAGCCUGAACCAGCCAUGCCGCGUGCAGGAAGACGGCUCUAUGAGUUGUAAACUGCUUUUGUACGAGGGUAAACGCAGAUACGCGUAUCUGUCUGAAAGUAUCGUACGAAUAAGGAUCGGCUAACUCCGUGCCAGCAGCCGCGGUAAUACGGAGGAUUCAAGCGUUAUCCGGAUUUAUUGGGUUUAAAGGGUGCGUAGGCGGUCGGAUAAGUUAGCGGUGAAAUCCCGAGGCUCAACUUCGGAAUUGCCUCUGAUACUGUUCGGCGAGAGAGUAGUUGCGGUAGGCGGAAUGUAUGGUGUAGCGGUGAAAUGCUUAGAGAUCAUACAGAACACCGAUUGCGAAGGCAGCUUACCAAGCUACUUCUGACGUUGAGGCACGAAAGCGUGGGGAGCAAACAGGAUUAGAUACCCGGGUAGUC